GGCACUCAAUGAACAAAAUAAGAAAGCUAAAUCCAGUGUAAAAGGUGGCUCAUUGCAUACCGGAGGUGCAAAAAAUGUCGGCGUCAUAGUUCGAGAAAUGGAGAAGGACUUGGGUCGCGAACCGACUCAACUUGAGAUCUUCAGAUGAACACAUCUUCUGAAAAAGAUGAAUGAGUCGGACCCGGAUGCGUGGGUUGAGCCCAGGGCUGAAAAUGUUAAUAAUGAAUAUAUAUGUUACUUGUCUGAGUUUGGUUCAACCCAGCAUACACAGAAGGAAGCAAAUAAAAUUUGAACGGAAAAAGUGGCGGGAGAAAAAAAGGAGGAGAAAACUAUGGGUUUGACUCUCAAAAUGAUUUACGACGUCUUCGUGCUGGAUGGGCUGGUAUUAAUUCCUCACGCCUGGCUGAGGCGAUUGUCGGUGUUCAGCUUGCUGUUAUGUCGCAGUAGAUUACAGUUCUUUCACGUGCUUUCGCACAGUUUGUUGCUCGAAAUGAAGUCAUGAGCAAGACUGUCGAGAAACUCAAGAAACAAGUGGUUAACAUGAGUUGUCAUCUUCACCGUUCUCCAUCUUCUGAUUCAAGUAGCAAAGAAGAAACAUAAAGGGAUGAGUUUGUCGACACUACUCCUUAGUGUUAGUUGGAUUUACUUCUAAACUUUUUUAGACAUUAAUUGUUGAACUUAACUUUUAAAUUUUGAAUUAAGAAGCUUAAAGACUUAGUUUUGGAUGUUUUUGAA
Long non-coding RNA from Capsicum annuum, 735 nucleotides. RefSeq lists it as uncharacterized. Lineage: Eukaryota; Viridiplantae; Streptophyta; Magnoliopsida; Solanales; Solanaceae. The record is from RefSeq and is a predicted model, not a curated record. The transcript has 3 exons.